GGGAUAUUGCACAAUGGGGGGAACCCUGAUGCAGCGACGCCGCGUGGGUGAAGAAGCGCCUCGGCGCGUAAAGCCCUGUCAGCAGGGAAGAAAAUGACGGUACCUGAAGAAGAAGCCCCGGCUAACUACUUGCCAGCAGCCGCGGUAAUACGUAGGGGGCAAGCGUUAUCCGGAUUUACUGGGUGUAAAGGGAGCGUCGACGGUGAAGCAAGUCUGAAGUGAAAGGCGGGGGCUCAACCCCCGGACUGCUUUGGAAACUGUUUGACUGGAGUGCAGGAGAGGUAAGUGGAAUUCCUAGUGUAGCGGUGAAAUGCGUAGAUAUUAGGAGGAACCCCAGUGGCGAAGGCGGCUUACUGGACUGUAACUGACGUUGAGGCUCGAAAGCGUGGGGAGCAAACA
RNAcentral lists this ribosomal RNA (399 nucleotides) under uncultured bacterium. Its description in RNAcentral is "bacterial SSU rRNA". It matches the Rfam family "Bacterial small subunit ribosomal RNA", at positions 358 to 774 of the family's 1533-position model. The record is from RNAcentral.